This 452-nucleotide unclassified non-coding RNA is filed under the name Jurinea thianschanica. RNAcentral describes it as "contains 3' external transcribed spacer, ETS". The record is from RNAcentral. Lineage: Eukaryota; Viridiplantae; Streptophyta; Magnoliopsida; Asterales; Asteraceae.
GGUUUUUGGUUUGUUACGGAUGGUGGGAUGUCUGCCUUGAGCAGCAACUUCCAUGCGUGCUUACCUCUUCAUUUGUGCGCAAGGCUAGUCGCCUUGGGUACUUUGUGGGUUUCCUGUGUUGCAUACCUAGUCGAUGGUAUUUUGUUGGUUUAUAGAUGUUUCUUUUCGUCGUGCGUCGCUUAUGGGGCGUGGGACGAACGUUGUUGCGAUCUUUGUGAUCUGCCUUGUUGGUGCCUAUGCAUCGACGAUGUGGCCCAUGAAGCAUUGCUUGGUGUCUUGUGUACGGAACCUAAUGUGGGCAUGGGUCUUACGUGAUCCUACAUUUGCCCUUGUUAAGCGUUCUCGCUUCUCUAAAACGAUUGCCCGUCAUGUUAUGGCUUGUCCAUUCGUUUCGGGCUGUGUCGAAGAGGAAUGCUACCUGGUUGAUCCUGCCAGUAGUCAUAUGCUUGUCU